This 253-nucleotide ribosomal RNA is filed under the name Escherichia coli. Its description in RNAcentral is "partial 23S ribosomal RNA". It matches the Rfam family "Bacterial large subunit ribosomal RNA", at positions 17 to 270 of the family's 2925-position model. Lineage: Bacteria; Pseudomonadati; Pseudomonadota; Gammaproteobacteria; Enterobacterales; Enterobacteriaceae. The record is from RNAcentral.
GUACACGGUGGAUGCCCUGGCAGUCAGAGGCGAUGAAGGACGUGCUAAUCUGCGAUAAGCGUCGGUAAGGUGAUAUGAACCGUUAUAACCGGCGAUUUCCGAAUGGGGAAACCCAGUGUGAUUCGUCACACUAUCAUUAACUGAAUCCAUAGGUUAAUGAGGCGAACCGGGGGAACUGAAACAUCUAAGUACCCCGAGGAAAAGAAAUCAACCGAGAUUCCCCCAGUAGCGGCGAGCGAACGGGGAGCAGCCC